RNAcentral lists this microRNA precursor (94 nucleotides) under Cercocebus atys (sooty mangabey). Its description in RNAcentral is "miRNA (ENSCATG00000008162.1)". RNAcentral also lists the same sequence under 1 other name. Lineage: Eukaryota; Metazoa; Chordata; Mammalia; Primates; Cercopithecidae. The record is from RNAcentral.
GGGCCGACCCUGAGGGUCAGGUGAGGCCCUUAGGGCACAGCAGUGCCAUCUCCCCUGUGCUCCCAGGGCCUCUCCUGUCCCUCGAGGUCGGCCC